This 196-nucleotide small nuclear RNA is filed under the name Nicotiana attenuata. Its description in RNAcentral is "snRNA U2". It matches the Rfam family "U2 spliceosomal RNA". From Rfam's summary of the family: U2 is a small nuclear RNA (snRNA) component of the spliceosome (involved in pre-mRNA splicing). Complementary binding between U2 snRNA (in an area lying towards the 5' end but 3' to hairpin I) and the branchpoint sequence (BPS) of the intron results the bulging out of an unpaired adenosine, on the BPS, which initiates a nucleophilic attack at the intronic 5' splice site, thus starting the first of two transesterification reactions that mediate splicing. Lineage: Eukaryota; Viridiplantae; Streptophyta; Magnoliopsida; Solanales; Solanaceae. The record is from Rfam by way of RNAcentral.
AUACCUUUCUCGGCCUUUUGGCUAAGAUCAAGUGUAGUAUUUGUUCUUAUCAGUUUAAUAUUUGAUAUGUAGGCCAUCGGCUCAUACGAUAUUAACUCAAUUUUUUAAGGGGAAAGAUCCAUCAAGGUAGCUUGCUAUCUGGGCCUUUGUGCGUUGCCCUGAUCUUGCACUAUUGCUUGGGCCUGACGCACCCCAA